GGGGAUUUUUUCAGUGUAAAAGACAUACAAAUAUAGAGAGAAAAAUAUACUGAGACUAAGAUAUUUUUCGAAGGUGAAUCGUUUUUAGUUUUUCUAUUCUUUUAUUUAUUUUUCAUUUAAAAUAAAAAAGAAAAAGAAGGGAAACUUACCUCACCCUCAGGUCUGCUCCAAAAGGGGGUUGAAAACCCAGUUCUCCGGCCACUAGUUG
Molecule: long non-coding RNA, 208 nt
Filed under: Gossypium raimondii (Peruvian cotton)
Lineage: Eukaryota; Viridiplantae; Streptophyta; Magnoliopsida; Malvales; Malvaceae
Description: long non-coding RNA (GRAI_LNC009530)
Source: RNAcentral